Molecule: small nucleolar RNA, 68 nt
Filed under: Sphaeramia orbicularis (orbiculate cardinalfish)
Lineage: Eukaryota; Metazoa; Chordata; Actinopteri; Kurtiformes; Apogonidae
Source: RNAcentral
UUUCAAUGAAGAUAACUUUGUCCAGUUUGCUACUGAAUGCAAGUGGUGAUAAUAAAGACUCUGAGAAA